GCUGGCGGCAGGCCUAACACAUGCAAGUCGAACGGAGUUAUAUUGUAGCUUGCUAUGGUAUAACUUAGUGGCAGACGGGUGAGUAAUGUAUAGGAAUCUACCUAGUAGUACGGAAUAAUUGUUGGAAACGGCAACUAAUACCGUAUACGCCCUACGGGGGAAAAAUUUAUUGCUAUUAGAUGAGCCUAUAUUAGAUUAGCUAGUUGGUGGAGUAAUAGCCUACCAAGGCAAUGAUCUAUAGCUGAUCUGAGAGGAUGAUCAGCCACACUGGAACUGAGAUACGGUCCAGACUCCUACGGGAGGCAGCAGUGGGGAAUAUUGGACAAUGGGCGAAAGCCUGAUCCAGCCAUGCCGCAUGAGUGAAGAAGGCCUUUGGGUUGUAAAGCUCUUUUAGUGAGGAAGAUAAUGACGGUACUCACAGAAGAAGUCCUGGCUAACUCCGUGCCAGCAGCCGCGGUAAUACGGAGAGGGCUAGCGUUAUUCGGAAUUAUUGGGCGUAAAGGGCGCGUAGGCGGAUUAGUAAGUUAAAAGUGAAAUCCCAAGGCUCAACCUUGGAAUUGCUUUUAAAACUGCUAAUCUAGAGAUUGAAAGAGGAUAGAGGAAUUCCUAGUGUAGAGGUGAAAUUCGUAAAUAUUAGGAGGAACACCAGUGGCGAAGGCGUCUAUCUGGUUCAAAUCUGACGCUGAGGCGCGAAGGCGUGGGGAGCAAACAGGAUUAGAUACCCUGGUAGUCCACGCUGUAAACGAUGAAUGUUAAAUAUGGGAAGUUUUACUUUCUGUAUUACAGCUAACGCGUUAAACAUUCCGCCUGGGGACUACGGUCGCAAGAUUAAAACUC
RNAcentral lists this ribosomal RNA (837 nucleotides) under uncultured bacterium. RNAcentral describes it as "bacterial SSU rRNA". It matches the Rfam family "Bacterial small subunit ribosomal RNA", at positions 35 to 902 of the family's 1533-position model. The record is from RNAcentral.